RNAcentral lists this transfer RNA (84 nucleotides) under Acidimicrobiia bacterium. RNAcentral's name for it is "tRNA-Leu". It matches the Rfam family "tRNA". Rfam says of the family: Transfer RNA (tRNA) molecules are approximately 80 nucleotides in length. Their secondary structure includes four short double-helical elements and three loops (D, anti-codon, and T loops). The record is from RNAcentral. Lineage: Bacteria; Bacillati; Actinomycetota; Acidimicrobiia.
GCGGACGUGGCGGAACUGGCAGACGCACCAGGUUUAGGUCCUGGCGCCCUCACGGGCUUGGGGGUUCGACUCCCCCCGUCCGCA